AUACGGAGGGUCCAAGCGUUAUCCGGAUUCAUUGGGUUUAAAGGGUCCGCAGGCGGGAAAAUAAGUCAGUGAUGAAAGCCUACAGCCCAACUGUAGAACUGCCAUUGAAACUGUUUUUCUUGAGUAUAGAUGAAGUGGGCGGAAUAUAUCAUGUAGCGGUGAAAUGCAUAGAUAUGAUAUAGAACACCGAUUGCGAAGGCAGCUCACUAAACUAUUACUGACGCUCAGGGACGAAAGCGUGGGGAGCGAACAGGAUUAGAAACCCUAGUAGUCC
This 274-nucleotide ribosomal RNA is filed under the name uncultured bacterium. RNAcentral's name for it is "partial 16S ribosomal RNA". It matches the Rfam family "Bacterial small subunit ribosomal RNA", at positions 523 to 796 of the family's 1533-position model. The record is from RNAcentral.